RNAcentral lists this ribosomal RNA (253 nucleotides) under uncultured bacterium. RNAcentral describes it as "partial 16S ribosomal RNA". It matches the Rfam family "Bacterial small subunit ribosomal RNA", at positions 524 to 776 of the family's 1533-position model. The record is from RNAcentral.
UACGUAGGGUGCGAGCGUUGUCCGGCAUUAUUGGGCGUAAAGGGCUCGUAGGCGGUUUGUCGCGUCGGGAGUGAAAACCUCGGGCUUAACUCGGGGCUUGCUUUCGAUACGGGCAGACUGGAGGUAUGCAGGGGAGAACGGAAUUCCUGGUGUAGCGGUGAAAUGCGCAGAUAUCAGGAGGAACACCGGUGGCGAAGGCGGUUCUCUGGGCAUGACCUGACGCUGAGGAGCGAAAGUGUGGGGAGCGAACAGG